UAAAUGACUCUCGGCAACGGAUAUCUCGGCUCACGCAUCGAUGAAGAACGUAGCAAAAUGCGAUACUUGGUGUGAAUUGCAGAAUCCCGUGAACCAUCGAGUUUUUGAACGCAAGUUGCGCCCAAAGCCAUUUGGUUGAGGGCACGUCUGCCUGGGCGUCACGU
RNAcentral lists this ribosomal RNA (164 nucleotides) under Paranephelius ovatus. RNAcentral's name for it is "5.8S ribosomal RNA". It matches the Rfam family "5.8S ribosomal RNA". From Rfam's summary of the family: 5.8S ribosomal RNA (5.8S rRNA) is a component of the large subunit of the eukaryotic ribosome. It is transcribed by RNA polymerase I as part of the 45S precursor that also contains 18S and 28S rRNA. Functionally, it is thought that 5.8S rRNA may be involved in ribosome translocation. RNAcentral also lists the same sequence under 3 other names. The record is from RNAcentral. Lineage: Eukaryota; Viridiplantae; Streptophyta; Magnoliopsida; Asterales; Asteraceae.